Molecule: unclassified non-coding RNA, 421 nt
Filed under: soil metagenome
Description: partial contains 5.8S ribosomal RNA, internal transcribed spacer 2, and large subunit ribosomal RNA
Rfam family: 5.8S ribosomal RNA (bases 1-120)
Source: RNAcentral
GAUGAAGAACGUAGCGAAAUGCGAUACGUAAUGUGAAUUGCAGAAUUCAGUGAAUCAUCGAAUCUUUGAACGCAUAUUGCGCUCUUUGGUAUUCCGAAGAGCAUGCUUGCUUGAGUAUCAGUAAACACCUCAACCUCUUCUUGAUUUUUCAAAAGGAGGGUGGACUUGAGCUAUCCCAACAACCUUUACCGGUCGGCGGGCGGCUUGAAAUGCAGGUGCAGCUGGACUUUUAUCUGAGCUAAAAGCAUAUCUAUUUAGUCCUCGUCAAACAGGAUUAUUACUUUUGCUGCAGCUAACAUAAAGGAUAAUUGUCCUCUUUGCUGACUGAUGCAGGAUUUUACGACACUUUAUGUGUUGUUCAACUCGAUCUCAAAUCAAGUAAGACUACCCGCUGAACUUAAGCAUAUCAAUAAGCGGAGGA